CGCGCAGGCGGAUUAGCAAGUCAGAGGUGAAAUCCUACAGCUUAACUGUAGAACUGCCUUUGAAACUGUUAAUCUUGAGUACGGAAGAGAGAAGCGGAAUUCCAGGUGUAGUGGUGAAAUACGUAGAUAUCUGGAAGAACACCAGUUGCGAAGGCGGCUUCUUGGUCCGUUACUGACGCUGAGGCGCGAAAGCGUGGGGAGCAAACA
Molecule: ribosomal RNA, 207 nt
Filed under: uncultured bacterium
Lineage: Bacteria
Description: partial 16S ribosomal RNA
Rfam family: Bacterial small subunit ribosomal RNA
Source: RNAcentral